UGAAUUUCAUCUUUUGCAACCAGGGUUGUUAAUGGCAGAUCUCAGCAGUGGGUGGGCACCCAGGGUCUGAGUACAGCAAGGGAUGGCUUCCCGGGGUGCUGGCCAGGACAAAAGGCUGUGAAGGGGAGUCUGAGUUCCAGUGUUCACACACACACACACACACACACACACGUACGUGCAUGCUCAGGUGUGCUCUUCACACUUUGUUUUGAAGACUAGUUGAGUGAAUAGUCACACAAUAGGCCAGGGACCUGCUCUUUAGAGGUACAGCUGUGGUCUGGAUCGCACAUGUCCUCCAAAGGCCACAUGACGAAGGCUUGGUCCCACAGGUGGCACCAUUGGGAGUUGGACCUUCAGGAGGUGGGACUGGUGGGAGAAAGUGUGGUCACUGUGGGGGUGCCCUUGAGGAACAUUGGGGUCCCAGCCUUAUCUCUGUUUCUUGGACACCUCUGUCACCUGCUUCUGCUAUAAUCUGCUGUGCUGCCACAGACCCAGAGCAACGUGGCCAAGUGACCAUGGACUGAAACCUCUGAAACUGAGCCAAAGUAAACCUGUCCUCUCAAGCUGAGGGUCCUAGGUGUUUUGUCACAGCAGCAGAAAGCAGACUCACAAAGGUCCCUCGUGGCCAGAGAUCAGGAAGAGCAAAUGCACCUCCACAUAGACAUGUUCUGUGGAGCCCUGACUGAAGUAGGACCUGCCUGAAUCGGCUGGAGCGCACCCGCACAUGACGUCCUUGGGGUCUGUGACACCCAGUGGAUGGCUGUCACAAUUCCAAUAAGGUCUUUUGGUUUCACAAGGGAAACACAUCCUGGAUGCUACCAGAACAGAGAGCAAGGUGGGAAUGA
This 845-nucleotide long non-coding RNA is filed under the name Marmota monax (woodchuck). Lineage: Eukaryota; Metazoa; Chordata; Mammalia; Rodentia; Sciuridae. The record is from RNAcentral.